AGCGAACGCUGGCGGCAGGCUUAACACAUGCAAGUCGAGCGGGCGUAGCAAUACGACAGCGGCAGACGGGUGAGUAACGCGUGGGAACGUACCUUUUGGUUCGGAACAACUGAGGGAAACUUCAGCUAAUACCGGAUAAGCCCUUACGGGGAAAGAUUUAUCGCCGAAAGAUCGGCCCGCGUCUGAUUAGCUAGUUGGUGAGGUAACGGCUCACCAAGGCGACGAUCAGUAGCUGGUCUGAGAGGAUGAUCAGCCACAUUGGGACUGAGACACGGCCCAAACUCCUACGGGAGGCAGCAGUGGGGAAUAUUGGACAAUGGGCGAAAGCCUGAUCCAGCCAUGCCGCGUGAGUGAUGAAGGCCCUAGGGUUGUAAAGCUCUUUUGUGCGGGAGGAUAAUGACGGUACCGCAAGAAUAAGCCCCGGCUAACUUCGUGCCAGCAGCCGCGGUAAU
Molecule: ribosomal RNA, 452 nt
Filed under: uncultured bacterium
Lineage: Bacteria
Description: bacterial SSU rRNA
Rfam family: Bacterial small subunit ribosomal RNA
Source: RNAcentral